Molecule: ribosomal RNA, 119 nt
Organism: Cornus florida
Lineage: Eukaryota; Viridiplantae; Streptophyta; Magnoliopsida; Cornales; Cornaceae
Source: RefSeq, a predicted model, not a curated record
GGGUGCGAUCAUACUAGCACUAAUGCAUUGGAUCCCAUUAGAAUUCCGUAGUUAAGUGUGCUUGGGCGAGAGUAGUACUAGGAUGGGUGGCUCCUUAGAAAGUUCACGUGUUGCACCCC